RNAcentral lists this ribosomal RNA (244 nucleotides) under uncultured bacterium. RNAcentral describes it as "partial 16S ribosomal RNA". It matches the Rfam family "Bacterial small subunit ribosomal RNA", at positions 100 to 334 of the family's 1533-position model. The record is from RNAcentral.
UAGGUGGGCGGGGACGGGUGGGUAACGCGUGGGCAACCUGCCUUACACAGGGGGAUAACAGCUAGAAAUGGCUGCUAAUACCGCAUAAGACCUCAGUACCGCAUGGUAGAGGGGUAAAAACUCCGGUGGUGUAAGAUGGCCCGCGUCUGAUUAGGUAGUUGGUAGGGUAACGGCCUACCAAGCCGACGAUCAGUAGCCGACCUGAGAGGGUGACCGGCCACAUUGGGACUGAGACACGGCCCAA